RNAcentral lists this unclassified non-coding RNA (383 nucleotides) under Hevea brasiliensis (rubber tree). Lineage: Eukaryota; Viridiplantae; Streptophyta; Magnoliopsida; Malpighiales; Euphorbiaceae. The record is from RNAcentral.
AUAGCUUUUACUUUUGUGACUUGAAUAUUUGCAGUAUGAUACUCUGAUUUAGACUUUAAAAAGGGAAAUCAUAUAACAAAAUCUGAGUCAUUACAGUAACACUACUUUCUCAGCAAACUUAAGACUACAGAUUUAUUUUUCCUUAUUUUUGAAGAUUUGCUGCAAAAAUUGCUUAAAUAAUUCCUUUUGUCCAGUUCAAUUCUAACUGGAUUUUUAUGAAUCAGCAAGAUCUAAGAGUUAGUUUUAUGUACCUGUUAAGGAGUACAAUUUUAAAGACUAAUGACACACAAUGUAAGAAGUAUCAAAAUUCACUAGUAGUGUUGAGUGUAGUAAGCAAAUUUGUACAUCAGAGGCAAUUUGCUCCUUCUCCCCCUUCUCCCCCG